GCUUGGCUUCUUUGCUGACGAGUGGCGGACGGGUGAGUAAUGUCUGGGAAACUGCCUGAUGGAGGGGGAUAACUACUGGAACGGUAGCUAAUACCGCAUAACGUCGCAAGACCAAAGAGGGGGACCUUCGGGCCUCUUGCCAUCGGAUGUGCCCAGAUGGGAUUAGCUAGUAGGUGGGGUAACGGCUCACCUAGGCGACGAUCCCUAGCUGGUCUGAGAGGAUGACCAGCCACACUGGAACUGAGACACGGUCCAGACUCCUACGGGAGGCAGCAGUGGGGAAUAUUGCACAAUGGGCGCAAGCCUGAUGCAGCCAUGCCGCGUGUAUGAAGAAGGCCUUCGGGUUGUAAAGUACUUUCAGCGGGGAGGAAGGGAGUAAAGUUAAUACCUUUGCUCAUUGACGUUACCCGCAGAAGAAGCACCGGCUAACUCCGUGCCAGCAGCCGCGGUAAUACGGAGGGUGCAAGCGUAAUCGGAAUUACUGGGCGUAAAGCGCACGCAGGCGAUUUGUUAAGUCAGAUGUGAAAUCCCCCGG
This 535-nucleotide ribosomal RNA is filed under the name Escherichia coli. RNAcentral describes it as "bacterial SSU rRNA". It matches the Rfam family "Bacterial small subunit ribosomal RNA", at positions 71 to 607 of the family's 1533-position model. The record is from RNAcentral. Lineage: Bacteria; Pseudomonadati; Pseudomonadota; Gammaproteobacteria; Enterobacterales; Enterobacteriaceae.